Molecule: ribosomal RNA, 254 nt
Filed under: uncultured bacterium
Lineage: Bacteria
Description: partial 16S ribosomal RNA
Rfam family: Bacterial small subunit ribosomal RNA
Source: RNAcentral
UACGUAGGGGGCUAGCGUUGUCCGGAAUCAUUGGGCGUAAAGCGCGUGUAGGCGGCCCGGUAAGUCCGCUGUGAAAGUCGGGGGGCUCAACCCUCGGAUGCCGGUGGAUACUGUCGGGCUUGAGUACGGAAGAGGCGAGUGGAAUUCCUGGUGUAGCGGUGAAAUGCGCAGAUAUCAGGAGGAACACCGAUUGCGAAGGCAGCUCGCUGGGACGUUACUGACGCUGAGACGCGAAAGCGUGGGGAGCAAACAGG